RNAcentral lists this ribosomal RNA (372 nucleotides) under uncultured organism. RNAcentral describes it as "bacterial SSU rRNA". It matches the Rfam family "Bacterial small subunit ribosomal RNA", at positions 526 to 896 of the family's 1533-position model. The record is from RNAcentral.
CAGAGGGUGCAAACGUUGUUCGGAAUUACUGGGCGUAAAGCGCGUGCAGGCGGCCUUGCAAGUCGGACGUGAAAUCCCACGGCUCAACCGUGGAAGUGCAUUCGAAACUGCGAGGCUGGAGUCCUGGAGAGGAAAGUGGAAUACUCGGUGUAGAGGUGAAAUUCGUAGAUAUCGAGUGGAACACCGGUGGCGAAGGCGGCUUUCUGGACAGGUACUGACGCUGAGACGCGAAAGCGUGGGGAGCAAACAGGAUUAGAUACCCUGGUAGUCCACGCCGUAAACGAUGAGUGCUAGGUGUCACGGGCUUUGACCCUCGUGGUGCCGAAGCUAACGCGUUAAGCACUCCGCCUGGGGAGUACGGCCGCAAGGCUA